UUGUAUUCCAAAACAUACCACAACGAGGCGGGUCUGGAGGUAACAUCGGAGCCCAGUGGAACGGAGGAUUUGGAGGCUGAAAAU
Molecule: small RNA, 84 nt
Filed under: Arabidopsis thaliana (thale cress)
Lineage: Eukaryota; Viridiplantae; Streptophyta; Magnoliopsida; Brassicales; Brassicaceae
Description: ATSL127940
Source: RNAcentral